RNAcentral lists this ribosomal RNA (439 nucleotides) under uncultured bacterium. Its description in RNAcentral is "partial 16S ribosomal RNA". It matches the Rfam family "Bacterial small subunit ribosomal RNA", at positions 338 to 795 of the family's 1533-position model. The record is from RNAcentral.
CCUACGGGUGGCAGCAGUGGGGGAUAUUGCACAAUGGGGGAAACCCUGAUGCAGCGACGCCGCGUGGGGGAAGAAGCGCCUCGGCGCGUAAGCCCUGUCAGCGGGAGAGAAAAUGACGGUACCUGAAGAAGAAGCCCCGGCUAACUACGUGCCAGCGGCCGCGUUAAUACGUAGGGGGCAAGCGUUAUCCGGAUUUACGUGGUGUAAAGGGGGCGCAGACGGCGUUGCAAGCCAGGAGUGAAAGCCCGGGGCCCAACCCCGGGACUGCCCUUGGAACUGGGGGGCUGGAGUGCAGGAGGGGAAGGCGGAAUGCCUGGUGUAGCGGUGACAUGCGUAGAUAUCAGGCGGAACACCGGUGGCGAAGGCGGCCUGCUGGACUGCAACUGACGUUGAGGCCCGAAAGCGUGGGGAGCAAACAGGAGUAGAUACCCCUGUAGUC